AAAAGUUGAGCAAUAGUGGCGUUUUUAGUACAAACGCCGCUAAUAUGUAUUUUUUUUUGUAAAACGGUAUCAUUUUGUUAGCCCCGAAAUGCCUUAGUCUUUUUCCCAAAAUCGGUUCCCCCUCCCCAAAAUCCCUAAGUAAUUUCCCCAGAACCCUUUCCCUUUUUCCCACUUCAUUUCCCCCAUAUCAGACCCCCCGAAAUCCCUAAAUUUCACCCGAAAUCCCUAUUUUUUCCCCAUUUUAUUUUCCCCAAAUCAUUUCUCCCUUACCUUGAAAUCCCUAACAAUUUUCCCAAUUCCCUUUAUUUUUUCCUCAACUUUUUUUCCCCAAAUCGACAGUCCUUUGCAUCGCUGUCGCCAGCCCUUUGCUGCAUCUCCGUCGGUAGCACUCUACUGCUUCGCCUGCCUUGUAAGUUUAUUUUUUCAUUUUGUUUGAUUGUUAUUUUUUUUAUUUGUUAAAUGAGUAAAACUAUAUUUUGUUUGAUUAGUGCCAUCUUCGGGUCAGUAACAAUCUGACAACACUUAUUCAACAAUCUGUAUAUGUUUUGAAAAUGACUUUGCUUAUUUCUCUUCUCCAACUAUUGAUUGAUGGAUUAGCAAAUUUUAACAGUAGGGUAAGAAUAAAAGUGGACUAAUUGAAGAUAACAUGUCUGCUUUAUGGGUGUUUUUGUAUCAUAUUAUUUGUCUGCAACAAAUAAAAUCUAUUUGAUCUCACAAAAUGAAAAAAAACUCACAGAGAAAAUUAGUGAAUGUACCGCAUUUUGUCAUCAUUUCAACCAUAGCCUUAUGUAUGCCAAUCUUAAAUUUCUUCAAAUUUUUUUGAGUAAGACAAUGUGUUUGUUUGAUUGUAAAUUCAGAACUUGAAGCAAAAAGGAUUAAAUUCAUAAAUAGUUUAA
Molecule: long non-coding RNA, 896 nt
Filed under: Gossypium barbadense (sea-island cotton)
Lineage: Eukaryota; Viridiplantae; Streptophyta; Magnoliopsida; Malvales; Malvaceae
Description: long non-coding RNA (GBAR_LNC022346)
Source: RNAcentral